UACGAAGGGUGCAAACGUUGCUCGGAAUCAUUGGGCGUAAAGCGCACGUAGGCGGCUUCGCAAGUCGGAUGUGAAAUCCCUCGGCUCAACCGAGGACGUGCAUCCGAAACUGCGGAGCUUGAGUACUGAAGAGGAUCGCGGAAUUCCCGGUGUAGAGGUGAAAUGCGUAGAUAUGUGGAGGAAUACCGAUGGCGAAGGCAGCCUCCUGGGCCGAACACUGACGCUCAUGCACGAAAGCGUGGGGAGCAAACAGG
RNAcentral lists this ribosomal RNA (254 nucleotides) under uncultured bacterium. Its description in RNAcentral is "partial 16S ribosomal RNA". It matches the Rfam family "Bacterial small subunit ribosomal RNA", at positions 524 to 776 of the family's 1533-position model. The record is from RNAcentral.